This 941-nucleotide long non-coding RNA is filed under the name Homo sapiens (human). Its description in RNAcentral is "DIO3 opposite strand upstream RNA". The record is from RNAcentral. Lineage: Eukaryota; Metazoa; Chordata; Mammalia; Primates; Hominidae.
GAGGCCGGGAGCAAGUCUCCUUUCGCCUUGGACUGCAGUGUCCCCCAGGGCAAGGCCUGAACCAGGUCGCGAGGGUCUGUCUCCCGUCUGGGGAGCUGAACUGCCCGAGACACUGUCGCAGUCGCGGGGACUUGUCUGGAGCGGCGGGGUCUGAGCCCAAGUCGGAAGCCGCCGCCGCCGCCAGCGUCCCGUGCGCCUGCCGCCCCGGGACCAGCCGCGAAACUUCUUCUCGGGACGGAGACAGCGCUCGCCGCCCGGGCCGAGCCCCAGGGAUGCUCAGGAAAGCAGCCUUUCUUUAGGGCUGUCAUCUGUUCUGGGGAUCUGUUGCUGUUUCUUGGGCCCACAGAAUACACUCCACACCUCGGGACUCCAUAAUAUUGGACAAGGCUGGAAGGCCCAUUUGGCUCCUGCAGCCUCUUAUGCAGGAGGACCUCCUGAGGCUUCGGGCAGGAGCUGGUGCACACCUGGAGGAGAGUGCUGGUGAAUGGCAGGUGUGUGCCUCAGUGUCCUUGCUGCCAGGGUGUCAGCCCUGCUUCACCACUGGCCGUUUGUCUCUGUCCCCUCCACUGGCCUCUUGAAGCACAGAGACCCUCCGGGUACUUUCCUUCCUCUGGGCUUCCACUCAUGCUAUUCCCUGCUCCCUUUUUCUACCUGGAGACCCCCAUUCCUCCUCCUCCUCUGCUGCCCUCACCUCCACCUGGGCCCUCCCAGCUCCCGGGAGAUGGCUGAACCCCACUCCCCACCCGCUAGUCAUCCUCUUCAGCGGUCCUCCCAGAGCUGUCCUCAGCAUGGCAGCCUCCACAGCCCCUGGGUGUCACCCCCGGUUUCGUGUCUGCCUCGGACUCCAGACCUGCCCCUCCCAGGCUGGCCCAGAUGGAUCCUCUACAGUGACUAACCCAAACCAGCACCAGGCAGGGACCCAAUAAACCUUUGUGAAUGGA